This 510-nucleotide ribosomal RNA is filed under the name uncultured bacterium. Its description in RNAcentral is "partial 16S ribosomal RNA". It matches the Rfam family "Bacterial small subunit ribosomal RNA", at positions 28 to 507 of the family's 1533-position model. The record is from RNAcentral.
GACGAACGCUGGCGGCGUGCUUAACACAUGCAAGUCGAACGAAGAGCGACGGAAGCUUGCUUCUAUCAAUCUUAGUGGCGAACGGGUGAGUAACGCGUAAUCAACCUGCCCUUCAGAGGGGGACAACAGUUGGAAACGACUGCUAAUACCGCAUACGAUCUAACCUCGGCAUCGAGGAUAGAUGAAAGGUGGCCUCUACAUGUAAGCUAUCACUGAAGGAGGGGAGUGCGUCUGAUUAGCUAGGUGGAGGGGUAACGGCCCACCAAAGCGAAGAUCAGUAGGCCGGCUGGGGAGAUUAACGGCCACAUUGGGAACGAGACCACGCCCAGACCCCUAAGGGGAGCAGCAGUGGGGAAUCUUCCGCAAUGGACGAAAGGCUGGCGGAGCAACGCCGGGUGGGUGAUGACGGCCUUCGGGUUGUAAAGCUCUGUUUAUCGGGACGAAAAGCCUUCUUGCGAAUAGUGAGAAGGAUUGACGGUACCGGAAUAGAAAGCCACGGCUAACUACGUG